GAGGAAUAUUGGUCAAUGGGCGAGAGCCUGAACCAGCCAAGUCGCGUGAGGGAAGACGGUCCUACGGAUUGUAAACCUCUUUUGCCGGGGAGCAACGGGCGCCACGUGUGGCGCUGUGAGCGUACCCGGAGAAAAAGCAUCGGCUAACUCCGUGCCAGCAGCCGCGGUAAUACGGAGGAUGCGAGCGUUAUCCGGAUUUAUUGGGUUUAAAGGGUGCGUAGGCGGCACACCAAGUCAGCGGUAAAAAUUCGGGGCUCAACCCCGUACGGCCGUUGAAACUGGUGGGCUGGAGUACGUCAGGAGCAUGCGGAAUGCGCAGUGUAGCGGUGAAAUGCAUAGAUAUUGCGCAGAACUCCGAUCGCGAAGGCAGCAUGCUAUGGCGGGACUGACGCUGAGGCACGAAAGCGUGGGGAUCGAAC
This 419-nucleotide ribosomal RNA is filed under the name uncultured bacterium. RNAcentral describes it as "bacterial SSU rRNA". It matches the Rfam family "Bacterial small subunit ribosomal RNA", at positions 356 to 773 of the family's 1533-position model. The record is from RNAcentral.